GUAGGUGGCAAGCGUUGUCCGGGAAUUAUUGGGGCGUAAAGCGCGCGCAGGCGGUUCUUUAAGUCUGAUGUGAAAGCCCACGGGCUCAACCGUGGAGGGUCAUUGGAAACUGGAGAACUUGAGUACAGAAGAGGAAAGCGGAAUUCCACGUGUAGCGGUGAAAUGCGUAGAGAUGUGGAGGAACACCAGUGGCGAAGGCGGCUUUCUGGUCUGUAACUGACGCUGAGGCGCGAAAGCGUGGGGAGCAAACAGGAUUAGAUACCCUGGUAGUCCACGCCGCAAACGAUGAGUGCUAAGUGUUAGGGGGUUUCCGCCCCUUAGUGCUGCAGCUAACGCAUUAAGCACUCCGCCUGGGGAGUACGGCCGCAAAGGCUG
Molecule: ribosomal RNA, 375 nt
Filed under: uncultured organism
Description: partial 16S ribosomal RNA
Rfam family: Bacterial small subunit ribosomal RNA
Source: RNAcentral